CAUCAAGACCGUUUUUCAAGAUGGCCGCUUCCAUUCCUAAACGGGUUCUUCCGUACAUCUCCCCACCUCCCCCAACCAGAGGUGAACUAGCAUGUUUAAAACCUAAAGUAAAAGGGGGGAAAAUUGUGAUUAUUACAGCUAACAAAAAUAACUCUUGUAUAGUUUCUUAAUGUCUACAAAACAAUUUCUUCGAAGCAAACCUCUGAAGAAGGAAAGGAUGAUAGAAAAUAAGUAGUGCCGUAAACAUCUAUUUCAUUUCUACUUUUGCUACCAAGGAGGAUGAUCUUUAGAAUGUGAGAGAUGGAACAAACCUGGUUUUGAGGGCAUUGGAACCUAAGAACAUAACCUCCUCGAGAGAAGCGACUGCAUAAUUUUUUAUUCUUGUGCAGCAGGGCCUGGUACAUGUGCACAGUGCCUUCCAUAGGAUCUCUCUGCCCUGUUCCCAGGAGAAAUCCCAGGAGAAAUCCCAGGAGAAUCGCUAUGUCACAUAAGGGACAAGUGCCUUGGAGAGACUAGAGCAUCCUAGACAUUCUGUAACUGAUUGAGAGCAAAUAACUAUAUGUGAAGAAGCAGGCUGUUUGGCUUCAGCAUCUAAAAAGACCUGUCAUUGAAGGGUAUGAACAAACAGUUCUCAAAAGAAGACCUACAAAGUAUUCAUAACCACAUAAAAAAUGCUCCAAAUCACUAAUAAUAAGAGAGAUAUAAACCAAAACAACUCUGACGUUUUGCCUCACAUUCUGCAAAUUGGUAAAAACAACCAAAAAUGGCAACAGUCAAUGUUGGAGGAGUUGUGGGGAGAGAGGCACACUCAUCCAUUGUUUGCAGAGCUGUGAAACCAUUUUGGAAAGCAAUUUGGAAUUAUGGAAAUCAAGUGACUAAAAUGUCCAUAC
Long non-coding RNA from Vombatus ursinus (common wombat), 890 nucleotides. RefSeq lists it as uncharacterized. The transcript has 3 exons. The record is from RefSeq and is a predicted model, not a curated record. NCBI's taxonomy places the organism in Eukaryota, Metazoa, Chordata, Mammalia, Diprotodontia, Vombatidae.